RNAcentral lists this long non-coding RNA (569 nucleotides) under Elaeis guineensis (African oil palm). RNAcentral's name for it is "long non-coding RNA (EGUI_LNC020604)". Lineage: Eukaryota; Viridiplantae; Streptophyta; Magnoliopsida; Arecales; Arecaceae. The record is from RNAcentral.
UAGGUGGUCAAGAAUAAAAAUCAACUCAAACGAUAUAGAUAGGAUGAGUCGGGAUUGUUUCCACAGAAAUUUAAGGUGAUUAUUUUUUUCUUUUUACUUGAAGAAGAAAUAAAAAAAAUUGAUUGUAGAAGAAUUAAAAAAAAAUAAAAUAGAAAGAAUUAAAUUACAAGUAUAAAAUUAAUUUAUGAAAAAAAAUAAGUUAGAGAGAUAACUCAAAAAUUUUGAAUCUACCAUGCAAAUUAGAUUUAUUUUUUUUUAUGCUGUAAUAUUAAUUCUUGUGAUUAGGACAUUAGUAGAGCUUAUCUCUAAGGGGUACGGACUGUAUCAGUAGAUCACGGCUCAUCCUAUUAAAGUAUAAACUAUCUAAACUCAAUUAUAAGAUAUAAGAUUUAAUCUAACAUACUACGAUCUAUCACUCCUAGGCACGUAUCAUAUCCAGAGAUCACGGCACGUCAGUAGAGGGUAUAGACCGUGUAGGCUAGAUCAAUACUUCAGAUAAAUAAAAAUAUAUGAAAUAAAAGUAUAAUUUUAUUGCAUGAAAAUUAAACAUAUGAAAGAAAAUAAAAAUC